AGAGUUUGAUCCUGGCUCAGGACGAACGCUGGCGGCGUGCUUAACACAUACAAGUCGAACGGAGCUUUGAAUUAAGUUUACUUGAUGAAAAGCUUAGUGGCGGACGGGUGAGUAACGCGUGGAUAACCUGCCCAAGAGAUCGGGAUAACGCCGGGAAACUGGUGCUAAUACCGGAUACGUUCCUUAGGCUGCAUAGCUUGAGGAAGAAAGGAGUAAUCCGCUCAUGGAUGGAUCCGCGUCCCAUUAGCUAGUUGGUGGGGUAAUGGCCUACCAAGGCGACGAUGGGUAGCCGGCCUGAGAGGGUGGCCGGCCACACUGGGACUGAGACACGGCCCAGACUCCUACGGGAGGCAGCAGUGGGGAAUCUUCCGCAAUGGGCGAAAGCCUGACGGAGCAACGCCGCGUGAGUGACGAAGGCCUUUGGGUCGUAAAACUCUGUCUUCAGGGAAGAAAAAAAUGACGGUACCUGAGGAGGAAGCCCCGGCUAACUACGUGCCAGCAGCCGCGGUAAUACGUAGGGGGCGAGCGUUGUCCGGAAUUACUGGGCGUAAAGGGCGUGUAGGCGGCCCGUGAAGUCAGGAGUGAAAACUCGGGGCUCAACCCCGAGAUUGCUUUUGAAACCAGCGGGCUUGAGUGCAGGAGAGGAAAGUGGAAUUCCCAGUGUAGCGGUGAAAUGCGUAGAUAUUGGGAGGAACACCAGUGGCGAAAGCGGCUUUCUGGCCUGUAACUGACGCUGAGCGCGAAAGCGUGGGGAGCAAACAGAUAGAUACCCUGGUAGUCCACGCCGUAACGAUGGUGCUAGUGUUGGGGUAUCGACCCCCUCAGUGCUGUAGUUAACGCAA
RNAcentral lists this ribosomal RNA (842 nucleotides) under uncultured bacterium. RNAcentral describes it as "bacterial SSU rRNA". It matches the Rfam family "Bacterial small subunit ribosomal RNA", at positions 8 to 863 of the family's 1533-position model. The record is from RNAcentral.